CCUCACGACGAAGCCCCGGCUAACUACCUGCCAGCAACCGCGGUAAUACAGUAGGGGGCGAGCGUUGUCCGGAAUUAUUGGGCGUAAAGCGCGCGCAUGCGGUUCCUGUAGAUCUGAUGUGAAAGCCCACGGCUCAUCCGUGCAGGGCCGUUGAAAACUGGUGGACUUGAGUGCAGGAGAGGAGAGCGGAAUUCCACGUGUAGCGGUGAAAUGCGUAGAGAUGUGGAGGAACACCGGUGGAGAAGGCGCCCCCCUGGACAAAGCAUGACGCUCAGGUGCCAAAGCGUGGGGAGCAAACAGGAUCAGAUACCAUGGUAGUCCACGCUGUAAACGAUGUCGACAAGGAGGUGGUUACCUGGAGGAGUGGCUUCCGGAGCUAACGCCCUAAGUCGACCGCGUCGGGACUACGCCCGCCAGGAGAAAACUCAAACGACUUGACGGGGGCCCGCACAACCGGUGGAGCAUGUGGUUUAACAGGAUGCAACGCGAAGAACCUUACUUACUCUCGACAUCCAGAGAACCUAGCAGAGAAGCUUUAGGCCCUUCGGGAACUAUGAGACAGGUGCUGCAGGGCUGUAGUCAGCUGAAGGUGGGAAAGGCGGGGUUAAGUCCCGCAACGAGCGCAACCGUUAUCCCUCGUGGCCCACACAUUAGGGCGGGAACUCAAAGGAGCCCGCCGGGGAUAAACCGGCGGAAGGCGGGGAUGACGUCAAGUCAUCAUGGCCCUUUCGAGUACGGGUACCCACGAGCUACAAUGGUGUAUACAAAGCGAAGCGACCUCGAGAGAGCAAGCGGCACUCAUAAAGUACGUCGUAGUCCCGAGAGGAGUCUGCACCUCGAAUCCAGGAAGUCGGAAUCGCUAGUAAUCCUAGAUCAGAAUGGU
RNAcentral lists this ribosomal RNA (883 nucleotides) under uncultured organism. RNAcentral describes it as "SSU rRNA". It matches the Rfam family "Bacterial small subunit ribosomal RNA", at positions 478 to 1358 of the family's 1533-position model. The record is from RNAcentral.